CCACGGGCGCACGGCGGAUGCCUUGGCACAGGGAGCCGAUGAAGGACGCGGCAAGCUGCGAUAAUCCCCGGCGAGGAGCACACAUCCUUCGACCCGGGGGUCUCCGAAUGGGCGAACCCAUGCACAGCGGUGUGCAUAUCCCCACCCCGAACACAUAGGGGCGGGGAGGACAACCCGGGGAACUGAAACAUCUAAGUACCCGGAGGAGAGGAAAUCAAUCUCGAGACUCCCCGAGUAGCGGCGAGCGAAAGGGGACCGAUGGCCAAACCGUCGAGCGGGCGUACCCGGCAGGGGUUCCGCCGACGGGGUUGCAGGGCCGCGCAUCCGGGGGCUGCCGCCCCCGGGCGCAGGUCCGGCUGGGGAGCGGAACGGCAUGGGAGGGCCGGCCGCAGCGGGUGAAAGCCCCGUACGCGAACCCAGACCGGACGGCGCGACGCGGUCCCUGAGUAGGGCCGGGCACGUGAAACCCGGUCCGAACCUGGGUGGACCACCAUCCAAGCCUGAGUACUACCCUGUGACCGAUAGCGCACCAGUACCGUGAGGGAAAGGUGAAAAGCACCCCGGGAGGGGAGUGAAACAGUACCUGAAACCGUGCGCCCACGAGCAGUCGGAGCACCUAUACGGUGUGACGGCGUGCCUUUUGUAGAAUGAGCCAGCGAGUCGCUGGCGCGGGGCGAGGUUAACCGAAAGGGAGCCGUAGCGAAAGCGAGCCUUAACAGGGCGACUUGAGUCCCGCGCCGCGGACGCGAAGCCGGGUGAGCUAUCCGUGGGCAGGCUGAAGCGGGGGUAAGACCCCGUGGAGGGCCGAACGCACGUCGGUUGAAAACGGCGGCGAUGACCUGCGGAUAGGGGUGAAAGGCCAAUCAAACCCGGAGAUAUCUCGUUCUCCCCGAAAUAGCUUUAGGGCUAGCGUCGCGCGUUCACCGCCGGAGGUAGAGCACCGGAUGGACGAGGGGGCUUCGCCGCCUACCGAAUCCAACCGAACUCCGAAUGCCGGCGGCCCAGAGCGCGGCAGUCAGAGCAUGUGGGCUAAGCUGUGUGCUCGAGAGGGAAACAGCCCGGACCGCCCGCUAAGGUCCCCAAGUUCCAGCCGAGUGGCAAAGGAUGUGCGUCCGCCCAGACAACCAGGAUGUUGGCUUAGAAGCAGCCAUCCAUUCAAAGAGUGCGUAACAGCUCACUGGUCGAGUGGACAUGCGCCGACAAUACACGGGGCUAAGCUGGACACCGAAGCGGCGGGAUUUUAUCUAUAUAGAAUCGGUAGGGGAGCUUCCCAUGGGCGGCGAAGCCGCCGGGCGACCGGCGGUGGAGCGCAUGGGAGUGAGAAUGCUGGCAUGAGUAGCGAGAGACGAGAGAGUAACUCGUCCGCCGUGAACCCGAGGUUUCCUGGGCAAGGCUAAUCCUCCCAGGGUCAGUCGGGGGCUAAGGCGAGGCCGGUAGGCGUAGCCGACGCGCAGCAGGCAGACAUUCCUGCACCGCGCACGCGGCGCUACGACCGACGGGGCGACGGAUGGGGGUGGCUCGGCGGGGUUCUGGACGUCCCCGUGAUGGAGCGCGGCCCGCGGACCAGGGAAAUCCGGUCCGCAUUGAGGGCGAGGCUCCGGACGAAGCGACUGAGCGAAGCGAGUGAGCCCGAGGUCCCUAGAAAAACCCCUAGGCAGGCGCGUGCGCGCCCGUACCGCAAACCGACACAGGUGGGUGGGUAGAACAUACCGAGGCGAUCGGGUCAACCAUGGUCAAGGAACUCGGCACAAUGGCCCCGUAACUUCGGGAGAAGGGGUGCCCGCGCGUACGUGAACCGGCUUGCCCGGGGAGCGGAGGCGGGCCGCAGUGGAGAGGCCCAAGCGACUGUUUACCAAAAACACAGGACUCUGCAGAAGCCGCAAGGCGACGUAUAGGGUCUGACGCCUGCCCGGUGCCGGAAGGUCACGCGGAGGAGUUAGCCGCAAGGCGAAGCCCCGAAGCCAAGCCCCGGUAAACGGCGGCCGUAACUAUAACGGUCCUAAGGUAGCGAAAUUCCUUGUCGGGUAAGUUCCGACCUGCACGAAAGGCGCAACGACUUGGGCGCUGUCUCGACCAUGGACCCGGUGAAAUUGCACUGGUCGUGAAGAUGCGACUUACCCGCGGAAGGACGGAAAGACCCCGUGAACCUUCACUGCAGCUUGGCAUUGGCCGCUGGUCCCGCGUGUAGAGGAUAGGCAGGAGGCACAGAUCCGGAGGCGCCAGCCCCCGGGGAGCCGCCCUUGGAAUACUGCCCUCGCGCGACCGGCGUCCUAACCCGAGGCCGUCAACCGGCUCGGGGACCGUGCCAGGCGGGCAGUUUGACUGGGGCGGUCGCCUCCUAAAGGGUAACGGAGGCGCGCGAAGGUCCGCUCGGGACGGUCGGCAACCGUCCUUUUGAAUGCAAGAGUACAAGCGGGCUUGACUGCGAGGCCCACAAGCCGAGCAGGUGCGAAAGCAGGCUCUAGUGAUCCGGCGGCCCCGAGUGGGUGGGCCGUCGCUCAACGGAUAAAAGGUACUCCGGGGAUAACAGGCUGAUCUUGCCCAAGAGUCCACAUCGACGGCAAGGUUUGGCACCUCGAUGUCGGCUCAUCGCAUCCUGGGGCUGUAGCAGGUCCCAAGGGUUGGGCUGUUCGCCCAUUAAAGCGGUACGCGAGCUGGGUUCAGAACGUCGUGAGACAGUUCGGUCCCUAUCCUCCGUGGGCGCAGGAGAAUCGAUGGAGGCUGCCCCCAGUACGAGAGGACCGGGGUGGACGCACCUCCGGUGAACCGGUUGUCGACCAACGGCACGGCCGGGUAGCCGCGUGCGGCGCGGAUAACCGCUGAAGGCAUCUAAGCGGGAAGCCGUUCCAGGGAUUAGUUCUCCUUCCGGUAAGGGCCCAGGUAGACUACCUGGUCGAUAGACGGCAGGUGCAAGGACGGCGACGUCCUCAGCCGAGCCGCACUAAUCGCCCGAGCUCUUCCGGA
RNAcentral lists this ribosomal RNA (2964 nucleotides) under human gut metagenome. Its description in RNAcentral is "bacterial LSU rRNA". It matches the Rfam family "Bacterial large subunit ribosomal RNA". The record is from RNAcentral.